GGGGAAAAGACAGCAAGAUGGAAAUCUAGGCACCAUAAUAACCCCAUUGAUUUGUGCACUGGCAUACUACUUCUGUUAGGGAAUAGACACUUUGUGGAAUCACCUAGGAGUCCCAGCCAAGAUCAGUGCCCCAUCGUGCGGGCACUGGAAAGACACAGCCCCUACCCCAAAGUCCUCACCAUCUCAUCAGACAAGACAGGCAAAGGGUGAAGAUUAAACAGAGGCACAGAGAGGAGAAGGGAUUUGCAUGUGGUCACACGCAGAGUGCCAUCAAACAACUGUGUAUUGCACAUCCAAGGAUCUCACUUGGAUUUCCUUAGAAAAAUGCGUAUAUGUUGUUGAAGAAGCAGAAAAGACUCCAAGGAAUUUGAAGAUUGAGCUGUCUGGAAGCUGUGAAAACCAACCCAUAUGUACCCAAGCACUUCUGCGGACUAAGCAAGAGAUGUAGUUACACUGGCAACACUUUCCCAUCAAACAAGGGAAUAUCUGUUGAUCCCGAAGUACUGGUAAAUUUGCAGCUUCUGAUUUUUGUUGCUGAAGAACUAGAAAACGUCAGUGAAAAUGAAGUUUGUUCCUUAAAAAGUUCCCUUGUGAUUAAAAGCCAU
Long non-coding RNA from Mauremys reevesii (Reeves's turtle), 605 nucleotides. RefSeq lists it as uncharacterized. The transcript is spliced from 5 exons. Lineage: Eukaryota; Metazoa; Chordata; Testudines; Geoemydidae. The record is from RefSeq and is a predicted model, not a curated record.